GCUUGUCUCAAAGAUUAAGCCAUGCAUGUUCAAGUAUAGCAAGUGUACAGUGAAACUGCGAAUGGCUCAUUAAAUCAGUUAUAAUUUAUUUGAUAGUGAAAUUGUACAUGGAUAACCGUGGCAAUUCUAGGGCUAAUACAUGCGUCAAUGGUCGGUCGACCAGUAUUUAUUAGAUACAAUCAAACGCACCAACAUAAAACCUUGGUGAUUCAUAAUAACUGUUCGGAUCGUAUGGCUUUUUGCCGACGACAGAUCAUUCAAAUUUCUGCCCUAUCAGCUUUCGACGGUACUGUAGUGGACUACCGUGGCAUUAACGGGUGACGGAGAAUUAGGGUUCGAUUCCGGAGAGGGAGCCUGAGAAAUGGCUACCACAUCCAAGGAAGGCAGCAGG
This 391-nucleotide ribosomal RNA is filed under the name uncultured eukaryote. Its description in RNAcentral is "partial small subunit ribosomal RNA". It matches the Rfam family "Eukaryotic small subunit ribosomal RNA", at positions 30 to 432 of the family's 1831-position model. The record is from RNAcentral.